UCCCCACUACGUAGACAACCCCAUUAUCCAGACCAGGUUUCCAAUGACAGAUCUUUUACAGAAUAAUCAUGAAACUUUGCAGUUUUCGUUCUCACCACCAGAAGAACUGAGAGUUUGUUACAACGAGAGAACAAUGAACAAGGACAUCACCGCAAACUUUGGAACUGGUGGGGAAACAAACGUACUGCAGAACUCCUGGUCUUUGAAGGAAACUACAGAACAGCAAGACUGAAUAGGGAUGUAUUGUUGUUGUUCUCAGCAGAGAAGAGGACUUAUCAGACUGAUAUUCUGAGGCCAAGUAAACACCUUGGGGAUAUGUGGAAAAAGAAGUUGAAUCCAACAUUAGUGCUGCUCUUAAACCAAA
Molecule: long non-coding RNA, 364 nt
Organism: Hyla sarda
Lineage: Eukaryota; Metazoa; Chordata; Amphibia; Anura; Hylidae
Exons: 3
Source: RefSeq, a predicted model, not a curated record